Molecule: ribosomal RNA, 497 nt
Filed under: uncultured bacterium
Lineage: Bacteria
Description: partial 16S ribosomal RNA
Rfam family: Bacterial small subunit ribosomal RNA
Source: RNAcentral
GAUGAACGCUGGCGGCGUGCCUAGUACAUGCAAGUCGAGCGAACAGACGAGGAGCUUGCUCCUCUGACGUUAGCGGCGGACGGGUGAGUAACACGUGGAUAACCUACCUAUAAGACUGGGAUAACUUCGGGAAACCGGAGCUAAUACCGGAUAAUAUAUUGAACCGCAUGGUUCAAUAGUGAAAGACGGUUUUGCUGUCACUUAUAGAUGGAUCCGCGCCGCAUUAGCUAGUUGGUAAGGUAACGGCUUACCAAGGCAACGAUGCGUAGCCGACCUGAGAGGGUGGUCGGCCACACUGGAACUGAGACACGGUCCAGACUCCUACGGGAGGCAGCAGUAGGGAAUCUUCCGCAAUGGGCGAAAGCCUGACGGAGCAACGCCGCGUGAGUGAUGAAGGUCUUCGGAUCGUAAAACUCUGUUAUUAGGGAAGAACAAAUGUGUAAGUAACUAUGCACGUCUUGACGGUACCUAAUCAGAAAGCCACGGCUAACUACGUG